RNAcentral lists this ribosomal RNA (497 nucleotides) under uncultured bacterium. RNAcentral's name for it is "partial 16S ribosomal RNA". It matches the Rfam family "Bacterial small subunit ribosomal RNA", at positions 28 to 507 of the family's 1533-position model. The record is from RNAcentral.
GAUGAACGCUGGCGGCGUGCCUAAUACAUGCAAGUCGAGCGAACAGAUAAGGAGCUUGCUCCUUUGACGUUAGCGGCGGACGGGUGAGUAGCACGUGGGUAACCUACCUAUAAGACUGGGAUAACUUCGGGAAACCGGAGCCAAUACCGGAUAAUAUUUCGAACCGCAUGGUUCGAUAGUGGAAGAUGGUUUUGCUAUCACUUAUAGAUGGACCCGCGCCGUAUUAGCUAGUUGGUAAGGUAACGGCUUACCAAGGCGACGAUACGUAGCCGACCUGAGAGGGUGAUCGGCCACACUGGAACUGAGACACGGUCCAGACUCCUACGGGAGGCAGCAGUAGGGAAUCUUCCGCAAUGGGCGAAAGCCUGACGGAGCAACGCCGCGUGAGUGAUGAAGGUCUUCGGAUCGUAAAACUCUGUUAUUAGGGAAGAACAUACGUGUAAGUAACUGUGCACGUCUUGACGGUACCUAAUCAGAAAGCCACGGCUAACUACGUG